Molecule: long non-coding RNA, 335 nt
Filed under: Nicotiana benthamiana
Lineage: Eukaryota; Viridiplantae; Streptophyta; Magnoliopsida; Solanales; Solanaceae
Description: long non-coding RNA (NBEN_LNC014859)
Source: RNAcentral
UCACUUACCUCUUCUCUUUUAGAGGAUGAGGCUUUGAAGGCAAUAUUCGAAUUACUUCUAAGAUAAGGAUUAAGAAUUGUGCUUUCAUAAGCUUUAGGGUUACCUCGUAGUCCAUCAAUUGUGACGUCUGUGAUUCCUAUCGACUCUUGGAUAUCAUUUGCUUUGGAACGCCAUUCGGGAGUGAGACUCCGUAGGAUUUUUCGAACUAGAUCUUUGUUCGAGUAUACUUUUACGAGAGCAUGAAGAUCGUUGACGAUCAUUGAGAAUCCUUCGAACAUACUAUCGAUGUUUUCAUCUUCCCUCAUUCUAAAAAGUUCAUAUUCAUGUGUUAGNNN